GGUGGUUCUCAGUUGACGCACCCUAGAAUUGGGCUCCCUCCUCUCUGGUUCCAAUGUGUCACCCGAGAACCCG
Molecule: non-coding RNA, 73 nt
Organism: Myotis davidii
Lineage: Eukaryota; Metazoa; Chordata; Mammalia; Chiroptera; Vespertilionidae
Source: Rfam